Molecule: non-coding RNA, 45 nt
Organism: Cicer arietinum (chickpea)
Lineage: Eukaryota; Viridiplantae; Streptophyta; Magnoliopsida; Fabales; Fabaceae
Source: Rfam
UGAUAGGAUUUAUUAAAAUCUACCCAAACUAUAUUAAACUCUUAU